UACGAAGGGGGCUAGCGUUGUUCGGAAUCACUGGGCGUAAAGCGCACGCAGGCGGAUCGUUAAGUCAGGGGUGAAAUCCCGAGGCUCAACCUCGGAACUGCCUUUGAUACUGGCGAUCUUUGAGUCCGGGAGAGGUGAGUGGAACUCCGAGUGUAGAGGUGAAAUUCGUAGAUAUUCGGAAGAACACCAGUGGCGAAGGCGGCUCACUGGCCCGGUACUGACGCUCAGGUGCGAAAGCGUGGGGAGCAAACAGG
RNAcentral lists this ribosomal RNA (254 nucleotides) under uncultured bacterium. Its description in RNAcentral is "partial 16S ribosomal RNA". It matches the Rfam family "Bacterial small subunit ribosomal RNA", at positions 524 to 776 of the family's 1533-position model. The record is from RNAcentral.